Molecule: long non-coding RNA, 2082 nt
Organism: Juglans regia (Persian walnut)
Lineage: Eukaryota; Viridiplantae; Streptophyta; Magnoliopsida; Fagales; Juglandaceae
Exons: 5
Source: RefSeq, a predicted model, not a curated record
ACCGUGAAACCGAAUGAAUCACUUCUCCUCACUACGAAACCCUACCCACUGUCGCCCUCUUCAGCUUCUCUCCAUUUUAUUUCAGUCUGUUAGUCUUUACACCAAGCACCACCAACGCCUUGCCACCGGGCUUGUGUUGUUUUUUAUUUUGUCAAUCUACCUCUUGCAAUCAUCACGGGACAAACUAGCAAGUUCUCUGGUUCUCCCCUCUCUCGACUCGAAAACCCAACGGAGAUCAAACCCGUGCACCUCUCUCUCACGACGGCUGUCGACACUCCUUGCGACGGCUCUGGGCUCAUCACGGUUGAGUUUUCGAUUUGGUUGUCUACAUUUCAGGUAUGAAAUAGCUCUGGGCUCCCUCUGUUUCUUCAUGGUUUCGAUGUGUUUCUAUCCCUUCACGGUUUUGAUUUGUGCUAUUUCUUCAUUUGUUGUUCUUGGUUUUAGAUUAGGGUUUUAGAUUAAGCUUAACUAACAACAUGUUUUUGCACUGAGAAAGAGAGGGUUUCUGGUUUCGAUGGCUUAAAUUUACAUGAAAGACUAGGGUUUCAAUGAUGAUGAUUUCGAUGAUGCUGGUUUUGAUUAUGCUGGUUUUAGAUUAGGGUUUCGAUGAUGAUGAUUUCGAUGAUGCUGGUUUCGAUUAUGCUGGUUUUAGAUUAGGGUUUCUUCAAUGUACAAACUGGUUUUGGUUUGGGGCCAAACCGAAUAUUGGGUUACACUUAUUUAAACUUGGUAUAACUGAAUCAAACUGGUUCUGGUUUUGGCCCCUGUUUUUACUUGAUCUAUGUACACUUAUGGAACUCAUGCUUUAACCCCUGUUUUUAGCUUUAUUUUACAAUUUGUGCAAUGUGUUUGCUGGUUUUGCUGGUUCUCUUUGGCUUGUGGUUUGUUAUUGAAGCCCUACAAUAUGUGCACCCUAUUUUGCUUAAUAUGUGCAAAAUUUAAUAACAUUUUGUCCUUCAAUAUUUUGUUGAAGGAUGAAUACUUUAAUUGAUGAGGAUCGCUUCUUCACCACACUGUUGGAAAGUGGUGAGGGUGGCAGUAACAACCCUACUAUGGAUGCUGCUUUCGUUGAUGUCCAAGUGACACAACCCCAACGGGAAGAAAGGGCACCUAAACAAAAAUCCCAGCGGGGUGUGUCAUUUACUAUUGAGGAAUAUACUCUCCUCAUUUCAGCUUGGCUUAACGUUAGUAUAGAUUCCAUUCGGGGGACUGACCAAACCUCCACACAACUGUGGUCUAGAAUUUAUGAUUACUAUUCCACUUAUAAAAAACAUAACGGUCAAGACCGUUCUGUGAAUUCUUUGACCAAUCGGUAGUCAGCCAUUCAAAAAUGUGUGAAUAAAUUUUGUGGUUCCAUGGCCCAAGUUGAAGGAAUGCAUCCAAGCGGUGCAACCGAGCAAGAUAAGAUUGACAAGGCAAAAAUCUUAUACCGAGAGACCCAAAAAACCAACUUCACCAUGGAUCAUUGUUGGAAUCUUUUGAGACACCAAGCGAAAUGGCAAACACACGUGGACAGCAUAAGAAGAAGAGACAAUGUUUCACGUCCAGUUGUGUUGCUGGAAAUUUGUGCUUCUGGAUGUGGUUUUGGACUGCUGCUGGAUGCUGGAUGCUAGAGUUGUUGUUGCUGCUGGAUGCUGGACUUGUUGAUGCUGUUGUUUUGUGGUUGCUGCUGCUGGACUCCUUGUUUGUCCCAAUGAUUCGUGGUUGCUGCUGCUGCUAGAUGCUGGAGUUGUGUCUGCUGCUGGAUGCUGGACUUGUUGAUGCUGCUGUUUUGUGGUUGCUGCUGCUGGACUCCUUGUUUGUCCCAAUGAUUCAUGGUUGCUGCUGCUGCUGGAUGCUGAAGUUGUUGCUGCUGUUGGAUGCUGGACUUGUUGCUGCUGCUGCUGCUGCUGCUAGAUGCUAGAGUUUGUGUUAUAAUGAUCUUGAAUCAAAUUUCUAUUGUAAUGAAUUUGUAUCAAAAUCAACUUUUUGGAACUUGUAUCAAGUUGAUUUUGAUACAUUGGAUUAAUUGCUGCUGUUUAUUAGCACAUUUGAUUCAUUUUUUAUGUAUAUAAAUUUGAUGUAUUUAUUAUAUAUGGAAUU